This 460-nucleotide ribosomal RNA is filed under the name uncultured bacterium. RNAcentral's name for it is "partial 16S ribosomal RNA". It matches the Rfam family "Bacterial small subunit ribosomal RNA", at positions 338 to 795 of the family's 1533-position model. The record is from RNAcentral.
CCUACGGGUGGCAGCAGUGAGGAAUAUUGGUCAAUGGACGAGAGUCUGAACCAGCCAAGUAGCGUGAAGGAUGACUGCCCUAUGGGUUGUAAACUUCUUUUAUAUGGGAAUAAAAUGUUCCACGUGUGGGAUUUUGUAUGUACCAUAUGAAUAAGGAUCGGCUAACUCCGUGCCAGCAGCCGCGGUAAUACGGAGGAUCCGAGCGUUAUCCGGAUUUAUUGGGUUUAAAGGGAGCGUAGGUGGAUUGUUAAGUCAGUUGUGAAAGUUUGCGGCUCAACCGUAAAAUUGCAGUUGAAACUGGCAGUCUUGAGUACAGUAGAGGUGGGCGGAAUUCGUGGUGUAGCGGUGAAAUGCGUAGAUAUCACGAAGAACUCCGAUUGCGAAGGCAGUUCACUGGACUGCAACUGACACUGAGGCUCGAAAGUGUGGGUAUCAAACGGGAUUAGAUACCCUAGUAGUC